This 64-nucleotide transfer RNA is filed under the name Lepidophyma flavimaculatum (yellow-spotted night lizard). RNAcentral describes it as "tRNA-Phe". It matches the Rfam family "tRNA". Rfam says of the family: Transfer RNA (tRNA) molecules are approximately 80 nucleotides in length. Their secondary structure includes four short double-helical elements and three loops (D, anti-codon, and T loops). Further hydrogen bonds mediate the characteristic L-shaped molecular structure. tRNAs have two regions of fundamental functional importance: the anti-codon, which is responsible for specific mRNA codon recognition, and the 3' end, to which the tRNAs corresponding amino acid is attached (by aminoacyl-tRNA synthetases). tRNAs cope with the degeneracy of the genetic code in two manners: having more than one tRNA (with a specific anti-codon) for a particular amino acid; and 'wobble' base-pairing, i.e. permitting non-standard base-pairing at the 3rd anti-codon position. The record is from RNAcentral. Lineage: Eukaryota; Metazoa; Chordata; Lepidosauria; Squamata; Xantusiidae.
GCGAUUGUAGCUUAUUUAAAGCAUGGCACUGAAGAUGCCAAGAUGGGCAUACGCCCCAAAAGCA